GCUGGCGGCGUGCUUAACACAUGCAAGUCGAACGGUGAAGGGAUCAGCUUGCUGGUCCUGGAUGAGUGGCGAACGGGUGAGUAACACGUGAGUAACCUGCCCCCUUCUUCUGGAUAACCGCAUGAAAGUGUGGCUAAUACGGGAUAUUCUGGGUCUGUCGCAUGAUGGGUCUGGGAAAGAUGCGCCUUUGGGUGUUUUUGGUGGGGGAUGGGCUCGCGGCCUAUCAGCUUGUUGGUGGGGUGAUGGCCUACCAAGGCGGUGACGGGUAGCCGGCCUGAGAGGGUGGACGGUCACACUGGGACUGAGACACGGCCCAGACUCCUACGGGAGGCAGCAGUGGGGAAUAUUGCACAAUGGGCGCAAGCCUGAUGCAGCGACGCCGCGUGAGGGAUGGAGGCCUUCGGGUUGUGAACCUCUUUCGCCAGUGAAGCAGGCCUGUCCCUUUUGUGGGUGGGUUGACGGUAGCUGGAUAAGAAGCGCCGGCUAACUAC
RNAcentral lists this ribosomal RNA (491 nucleotides) under uncultured bacterium. RNAcentral describes it as "bacterial SSU rRNA". It matches the Rfam family "Bacterial small subunit ribosomal RNA", at positions 35 to 504 of the family's 1533-position model. The record is from RNAcentral.